Monopterus albus (swamp eel) is the source of this 682-nucleotide long non-coding RNA. RefSeq lists it as uncharacterized. The transcript has 3 exons. The record is from RefSeq and is a predicted model, not a curated record. NCBI's taxonomy places the organism in Eukaryota, Metazoa, Chordata, Actinopteri, Synbranchiformes, Synbranchidae.
CAGUCUCAGUCCUGCUUCCACCCUUUGUUUUCCUCUGGACUCUUCUAAAGACUGUCAGUCCACAUCCUGGCUCCAGCUUCCAGAUUUUCUCUCCCACUCCACACCUGUAGCCAUUUUACUAAUUAGCUUACAUGUUUGCCUGUUCCCUUUGUUUGGUUGUCAGAUUGUCUGAUGUGCUCACCAUCUUGUCAAUCAGCCACAGUUUCCCUAGCCCUCUGGGCAUUGAACACUUUCUAGGGUUGUUUCCUAGUGUUAGUCUUUCUUCUUGUGUUGGAUUAUUUCUUCAUGUUGACCCUGCCUGCCUCUGGUCUCUGUCUCUUGCUUAACCAUUUGGAUUUAUUGCUUGGCCUGGACUGAAUGCACACCUUUGACUCCUGUUUGGACUUUCUGCUGCUAUCUCCUCAGUUUUGCCUGCCUGGACUGCAAGUAAACCUCAUGUUUGUCAUGUGCUAAAAAACAAACAAAUGAAAAACUAACUGGAUAUGUCAGUGAAGCUUGUUCAAGUGGCCAAAUCCAUUUAUACAGUGGAACACACCAGAGGAGGAGUUGAUGGGCCAAGUGCCAUUACCUGAUAAUUACAGCUAAAAGUCUCUAUGCUAACGAGGAUGGCUCAUCAUCACGGUGCUGGCAGACAUACAGGACACAAACAUCUACAAUUCAGAUUAAAAGCACUUGUGUUCAG